Molecule: ribosomal RNA, 622 nt
Filed under: uncultured bacterium
Lineage: Bacteria
Description: bacterial SSU rRNA
Rfam family: Bacterial small subunit ribosomal RNA
Source: RNAcentral
CAAAGGAGCAAUCCGCUGAAAGAUGGGCUCGCGUCCGAUUAGGUAGUUGGCGGGGCAAUGGCCCACCAAGCCGACGAUCGGUAGCCGGACUGAGAGGUUGAACGGCCACAUUGGGACUGAGACACGGCCCAGACUCCUACGGGAGGCAGCAGUGAGGGAUAUUGGUCAAUGGGGGAAACCCUGAACCAGCAACGCCGCGUGAGGGAAGACGGUUUUCGGAUUGUAAACCUCUGUCCUCUGUGAAGAUGAUGACGGUAGCAGAGGAGGAAGCUCCGGCUAACUACGUGCCAGCAGCCGCGGUAAUACGUAGGGAGCAAGCGUUGUCCGGAUUUACUGGGUGUAAAGGGUGCGUAGGCGGCUUUGCAAGUCAGAAGUGAAAUCCAUGGGCUUAACCCAUGAACUGCUUUUGAAACUGCAGAGCUUGAGUGGAGUAGAGGUAGGCGGAAUUCCCGGUGUAGCGGUGAAAUGCGUAGAGAUCGGGAGGAACACCAGUGGCGAAGGCGGCCUGCUGGGCUCUAACUGACGCUGAGGCACGAAAGCGUGGGUAGCAAACAGGAUUAGAUACCCUGGUAGUCCACGCUGUAAACGAUGAUUACUAGGUGUGGGUGGACUGACCCCAUCC